UACGUAGGGCGCAAGCGUUGUCCGGAAUUAUUGGGCGUAAAGAGCUCGUAGGCGGCUUGUCACGUCGGGUGUGAAAGCCCGGGGCUUAACCCCGGGUCUGCAUUCGAUACGGGCAGGCUCGAGUUCGGUAGGGGAGACUGGAAUUCCUGGUGUAGCGGUGAAAUGCGCAGAUAUCAGGAGGAACACCGGUGGCGAAGGCGGGUCUCUGGGCCGAUACUGACGCUGAGGAGCGAAAGCGUGGGGGAGCGAACAGG
This 254-nucleotide ribosomal RNA is filed under the name uncultured bacterium. RNAcentral's name for it is "partial 16S ribosomal RNA". It matches the Rfam family "Bacterial small subunit ribosomal RNA", at positions 524 to 776 of the family's 1533-position model. The record is from RNAcentral.